RNAcentral lists this ribosomal RNA (466 nucleotides) under uncultured bacterium. RNAcentral's name for it is "bacterial SSU rRNA". It matches the Rfam family "Bacterial small subunit ribosomal RNA", at positions 340 to 784 of the family's 1533-position model. The record is from RNAcentral.
UACGGGAGGCAGCAGUGGGGAAGUAUUGCACAAUGGGCGCAAGCCUGAUGCAGCCAUGCCGCGUGUAUGAAAAAGGCCUUCGGGUUGUAAAGUACUUUCAGUCGUGAGGAAGGUGUUAAGGUUAAUAACCUUAGCAAUUGACGUUAGCGACAGAAGAAGCACCGGCUAACUCCGUGCCAGCAGCCGCGGUAAUACGGAGGGUGCGAGCGUUAAAUCGGAAUUACUGGGCGUAAAGGGCACGCAGGCGGUUAAAUUAAGUUGGAUGUGAAAUCCCCGGGCUUUAAACCUGGGAAUGGGCAUUUCAAAGACUGGUUUAGCUAGAGUCUUUGUAGAGGGGGGUAGAAUUCCAUGUGUAGCGGUGAAAUGCGUAGAGAUGUGGAGGAAUACCGGUGGCGAAGGCGGGCCCCUGGACAAAGACUGACGCUCAUGUGCGAAAAGCGUGGGGGAGCAAAACAGGGAUUAGGAU